RNAcentral lists this ribosomal RNA (570 nucleotides) under Triticum aestivum (bread wheat). Its description in RNAcentral is "partial small subunit ribosomal RNA". The record is from RNAcentral. Lineage: Eukaryota; Viridiplantae; Streptophyta; Magnoliopsida; Poales; Poaceae.
AUGGCAGCGGCACGCGGCGGCGGAUCGGCGGCGAGGGUCGGCGACUGGGACGUCGAGCUCGGGCCCGGCUGGGACUGGCGCUCCAUCCCGCAGCUGCUCUCCUCCGCCUGCAUCUUCAUCUGCUCCGGAGGCUGUUUUGGAUGCUGUGAGAAGGCCGCAAAACACGUAGGCGAUCUUUCCAAGAGCUUAAUGGCCCAUGCCCAGAAUCCCACGGUGGCAGAGGAAUUUUGGAGUACGACCACCAUCGAGGUUGAUCCGGCAGACCUACGAGCACCAUACAACACAUCCUCUUGGGACCUUGAUCUGCAUGGAGUGGGAAGCAGCCAUAACCUGGGCGACUCUGCUAAUCAUGGUUUUUCUCUUUGGCAACAAACUAGGGAUGAGUGGACUGAGAAUACAAGGUUAAGGCAAGAACCUGUGGUGAAGCAGAUCCAGGAACCAGUGUUGAGUUGGAAUGCAGCGUAUGAAAGUUUGCUUGGAUCAAAUAAACCAUUCCCUCAGCCCAUCCCUCUACAUGAGAUGGUUGAUUUCCUCGUGGACAUCUGGGAGCAAGAGGGACUGUAUGACUAG